Non-coding RNA from Macaca mulatta (Rhesus monkey), 408 nucleotides. Lineage: Eukaryota; Metazoa; Chordata; Mammalia; Primates; Cercopithecidae. The record is from RefSeq and is a predicted model, not a curated record.
CAUUGGCCCUGGGUCAGCGCAGGGGCGCCGGCCUGGCUGCGGUUCCGAGUCGGGCGCGCGCCGGCAGGGUUCCCAUUGCCAGCGGCGCAGCCAGACUAGGGGCUGCCCUCCGCCUUCUCGCCAUGGACGCGGACGACUCCCGGGACACCAAGGGCUCCUUGCGGAAGUUCCUGGAGCACCUCUUCGGGGCCCGCAAGGCCAUCGGCGUGCUGACCAGCGGCGGGGAUGCUCAAGGUUUCUCCAACGUGAGAUGCUCCCAGGAGUCCUUUGGGAUUGUUUUCUGACUUUGACCAGGAUUUUGACGGAGAAGAUUCAUUAAUAUAGGACCCCUUGUCUUAACGUACAUAUGUAAAUGAUCUGAUGUGAAGUUUUCUGAAUGGAAAAUGAUUGAAAGGUUGGCAUGCAGUA